GAUGAAGACGUAGCGAAAUGCGAUAAGUAAUGUGAAUUGCAGAAUUCAGUGAAUCAUCGAAUCUUUGAACGCAUCUUGCGCUCCUUGGUAUUCUGAGGAGCAUGCCUGUUUGAGUGUCAUUAAAUUCUCAACUACACUGACUUUGAAUUGGUGUGGCUUGGAUUUGGGGGGAAAAUUGUUGUGGGCUUUUUGUAUAGUCUGCUCCCCUGAAAUUGAUUAGCGGUACCUUUGUGGAACUGUCUACAGGUGUGAUAAUUAUCUACAUCUUAGACAUCUGCUGGAAUGCUGCUUUCUAAACCUUACUUGUAUUGACAAUCUUGACCUCAAAUCAGGUAGGACUACCCGCUGAACUUAAGCAUAUCAAUAAGCGGAGGA
Molecule: unclassified non-coding RNA, 375 nt
Filed under: soil metagenome
Description: partial contains 5.8S ribosomal RNA, internal transcribed spacer 2, and large subunit ribosomal RNA
Rfam family: 5.8S ribosomal RNA (bases 1-119)
Source: RNAcentral